CACUUCCUUGUCUGGUUUGUGAGAACCCCAGGCCCCCGGGAGGCCAAGCGAGUCUGGCUGGGCUCCGGGUCCCCCAGGGCUCCUGGACGGCAGGCCUUCAGCUCCGCACCUCUGACGACGGGCCACCCCCGCAGCCCCCAUGUGAGAUGCCAGCCCGUGCUCAGCGUUUCCUGUCCUCCGCACGGGCGUGCUCCAUGCCCACCUCUUCGUGGCCACGUGCAUGCCACCUCCUCCAGGAAGCCCUUCCUACUCUACCCUUUCCCAAUUCUGGACGUGGCUCCUCCCUCACCUGGGUCCCACACAUAGUCCUCUGUCCCCCACAAGCCAGGAUCCGGGCUCUGCUAACGGUGGGCGGAGCCGGGCAGGAAAGGGGAGGCCGGCGCUCCCCCUGGAGACCCCUGAGCGGGCAGCCCCCGGGGUUGCCGUGGGGUCCCGGCCGCACCUCCAGGCCUAGGUCAGGAGUGCAGGGGGAGACGGGGUGUCCCAGCCCCAG
Suricata suricatta (meerkat) is the source of this 493-nucleotide long non-coding RNA. RefSeq lists it as uncharacterized. Lineage: Eukaryota; Metazoa; Chordata; Mammalia; Carnivora; Herpestidae. The transcript has 2 exons. The record is from RefSeq and is a predicted model, not a curated record.